RNAcentral lists this ribosomal RNA (610 nucleotides) under uncultured fungus. RNAcentral's name for it is "eukaryotic LSU rRNA". It matches the Rfam family "Eukaryotic large subunit ribosomal RNA", at positions 40 to 600 of the family's 3401-position model. The record is from RNAcentral. Lineage: Eukaryota; Fungi.
AUAUCAAUAAGCGGAGGAAAAGAAACUAACAAGGAUUCCCCUAGUAACGGCGAGUGAAGCGGGAAUAGCUCAAAUUUAAAAUCUGGUGUAAAGCCCGAAUUGUAAACUAAAGAGGCGCUAUCGGACACAAGUUUGUUGUACAAGUUCCCUGGAAUGGGACAUCACAGAGGGUGAGAAUCCCGUCUGGACAAUGGACAAGUGGCCAUAUGAGGCGUUCUCAAAGAGUCGAGUUGUUUGGGAUUGCAGCUCUAAAUGGGAGGUAAAUUUCUUCUAAGGCUAAAUAAUGGCAAGAGACCGAUAGCAAACAAGUACCGUGAGGGAAAGAUGAAAAGCACCUUGAAAAGGGAGUUAAAAGCGCGUGAAAUUGUUAAAAGGGAAACGAUUGAAGCCAGUAGGACCAUGGAGAGUUCAGCGGUACCUAUCGAGUAUUGCUGCGAUGAGAGUGCUUAAUUGUACCUCUAGCAGUGUGCGCAAGUAGACUAUCGUGCAUUCUUUCCAUGGUUAGUCAGUGACAAUUCGAGUUGCCGGAAAAGGACUUGGGGAAGGUGGCCAUUGCUUCGGCAUUGGCUUUAUAGACCCUCGUAGAUACGGCAGUUUGGAUUGGAAUCGG